CUCCUGCCUCAGCCUCCCGAGUAGCUGGGAUUACAUGCGCGUGCCACCACGCCCAGCUAAUUUUUGUAUUUUUAUAGAGACGGGGUUUCACCAUGUUGGCCAGGCUGGUCUCGAACCCCGGACCUCAGGUGAUCCACCUGCCUCGGCCUCCCAAAGUGCUGGGAUUACAGGCAUGAGCCACCGUGCCUGGCCAGAAACAUUCUUUUUAUUCGUUUUUAUUAUAAUUGUAGUAAGGGCCCUGGUAGGGGAUUUGAACUGUUUCUUUCCACAGUGUGGAAUGAUGUCUAUAUACAUUACAGAAUGGAGAUAUAGAUAUCUAUAGAGAUCUAUAGAUAUCUAUAGAGAUCUAUAUAGAUAUCUAUAGCUAUAUAGAUAUAGAGAUAUAGAUAUAUAUAGAUAUAUAGA
RNAcentral lists this long non-coding RNA (405 nucleotides) under Homo sapiens (human). RNAcentral describes it as "HSALNT0392544". The record is from RNAcentral. Lineage: Eukaryota; Metazoa; Chordata; Mammalia; Primates; Hominidae.